This 363-nucleotide ribosomal RNA is filed under the name Ixodes ricinus (castor bean tick). RNAcentral's name for it is "partial 16S ribosomal RNA". The stretch from base 67 to 363 matches the Rfam family "Bacterial large subunit ribosomal RNA", at positions 2078 to 2619 of the family's 2925-position model. The record is from RNAcentral. Lineage: Eukaryota; Metazoa; Arthropoda; Arachnida; Ixodida; Ixodidae.
AAAAGCUUUCUUUAAUUGAAUAAUUGAAUUUAAUUUUUUUAGUGCAAAAGCAAAAAUAAAAAUUAGGGACAAGAAGACCCUAUGAAUUUUUUUAUUAAAUUUUAUAAAACUUUAUAUAAAGUUUAAUUUAAUUGGGGUGAUGGAAAAAGAAUAAAUAUCUUUUUUUUAAAGAAAAUUGGUUCCGUUUUUAGCGAUUAAAUGAAAAAAAUACUCUAGGGAUAACAGCGUAAUAAUUUUGGAUAGUUCAUAUAGAUAAAAUAGUUUGCGACCUCGAUGUUGGAUUAGGAUUCUUUUUUGGUGAAGAAGUUAAAAAAAGAAGUUUGUUCAACUUAUAAUUUCCUACUUGAUCUGAGUUCAGACCGG